This 497-nucleotide ribosomal RNA is filed under the name uncultured bacterium. Its description in RNAcentral is "partial 16S ribosomal RNA". It matches the Rfam family "Bacterial small subunit ribosomal RNA", at positions 28 to 507 of the family's 1533-position model. The record is from RNAcentral.
GAUGAACGCUGGCGGCGUGCCUAAUACAUGCAAGUCGAGCGAACGGACGAGAAGCUUGCUUCUCUGAUGUUAGCGUCGGACGGGUGAGUAACACGUGGAUAACCUACCUAUAAGACUUGGAUAACUUCGGGAAACCGUAGCUAAUACCGGAUAAUAUUUUGAACCGCAUGGUUCAAAAGUGAAAGACGGUCUUGCUGUCACUUAUAGAUGGAUCCGCGCUGCAUUAGCUAGUUUGUAAGGUAACGGCUUACCAAGGCAACGAUGCAUAGCCGACCUGAGAGGGUGAUAGGCCACACUGGAACUGAGAAACGGUCAAGACUCCUACGGGAGGCAGAAGUAGGGAAUCUGCGGCAAUGGGCGAAAGCCUGACGGAGCAACGCCGCGUGAGUGAUGAAGGUCUUCGGAUCGUAAAACUCUGUUAUUAGGGAAGAACAUAUGUGUAAGUAACUGUGCACAUCUUGACGGUACCUAAUCAGAAAGCCACGGCUAACUACGUG